GAUGAAGAACGUAGCGAAAUGCGAUAAGUAGUGUGAAUUGCAGAAUUCAGUGAAUCAUCGAAUCUUUGAACGCACAUUGCGCCUUCUAGUAUUCUGGGAGGCAUGCCUGUUUGAGCGUCAUUUAACCUCUCUCAAGUAUGAUUACUUGGAUGUGAAGGAAGAGUACCUUAAACUUAAGGAGUGUUCUCCUUUGAAAUUGAUUAGCAGAUGGUAAUGUUAUUAAAUCCCUGAUGUUGUAAGAAAUAACAGUGGUUUUGUAGACUAUUAUCUAGCUUUAAAUUAUAAUUUUUAUUAUGGUUGACCUCAAAUCAGGUAAGGAUACCCGCUGAACUUAAGCAUAUCAAUAAGCGGAGGA
RNAcentral lists this unclassified non-coding RNA (355 nucleotides) under soil metagenome. Its description in RNAcentral is "partial contains 5.8S ribosomal RNA, internal transcribed spacer 2, and large subunit ribosomal RNA". The stretch from base 1 to 120 matches the Rfam family "5.8S ribosomal RNA", at positions 35 to 154 of the family's 154-position model. The record is from RNAcentral.